AGGACCUGCACCUCCGCCAUCUUCGGCAGCCGCUUGGGAAAAAGCGCUUCUCCCAUUUUUAAAGCUAUGUCCCACGUCUUCUCCAUUUCACCCCAGGUGGAGCUGCAGCCCAGCUGGAGACACAAACGUUCCCAUUUGUAGCUGAGAAGUCCCUGUUUGGUGGAUCAUGGGCUCCUUCCACUGGUUUUGAUCCUUCCACUUCCUGUCUGGUUCCCUUUGAUCCCAGCCUCUCUGACAUCACUGGAGAAAUGCCAGCCUAUGGAAGACAACCUCUGAGUCUCCUGGUGCCAAAACCAAGAACUUACUUGCAUCUACAUGUAAAUCAGAUUUUCCCUUGGGCAGCAUGGAGCAAAUCCCACUGUGAAAAGGUUUCCUCCGUCUUCCUCUUUGUCAGACUGCAUGCUGAGUCACAGGAUGGACCAGAUGUGUUGGUAUGAGAUGAAGUCAGGCCGGGAGACAAGAUGGCAGGCUGAGAACUGGGGCUGGCCCUUCCUGUGCUGUCCAUUCCGGUGUGGUCCUCCAGCCCUUCUGGAUUGUCAUAAAGUGAUUUUCUUUGGCCCAUGGAAUGUGGUAGAAGUGAUUAAACCUAAGACUCUAAUAGCUGUGUGCACUCCUGCUCUCUCGUUGAAUCCCUGCCACCACCAUAAGGACAAGUCCUGAGUUAGCCUACUGAAGGAUGAGAGAAUAUAUGAAGGAGAACUGAGUCACUCCAACUAAGGCCAAACUACAGCAGCAUGCUACAACCUGUCUGUUGUGUGCAGAAUCAUGGGCAAGGUCAGCCAACAUCAAGUGAGCCAAGAAAGUCACCCAGCAAACUUGUAGAUUUGGUAGCAAAAAAUAAAUAUUUAUUUUUAUUUGUCACA
Molecule: long non-coding RNA, 863 nt
Filed under: Homo sapiens (human)
Lineage: Eukaryota; Metazoa; Chordata; Mammalia; Primates; Hominidae
Description: HSALNT0403451
Source: RNAcentral